This 472-nucleotide ribosomal RNA is filed under the name uncultured bacterium. Its description in RNAcentral is "partial 16S ribosomal RNA". It matches the Rfam family "Bacterial small subunit ribosomal RNA", at positions 28 to 507 of the family's 1533-position model. The record is from RNAcentral.
GACGAACGCUGGCGACGUGCUUAACACAUGCAAGUCGAACGAUGAACCCGGAGCUUGCUCUGGGGGAUUAGUGGCGAACGGGUGAGUAACACGUGAGUAACCUGCCCUGGACUCUGGGAUAAGCGUUGGAAACGACGUCUAAUACCGGAUAGGACCUUGGAUCGCAUGAUCUGGGGUGGAAAGUUUUUUCUGUCUGGGAUGGACUCGCGGCCUAUCAGCUUGUUGGUGAGGUAAUGGCUCACCAAGGCGUCGACGGGUAGCCGGCCUGAGCGGGUGACCGGCCACACUGGGACUGAGACACGGCCCAGACUCCGACGGGAGGCAGCAGUGGGGAAUAUUGCACAAUGGGCGAAAGCCUGAUGCAGCAACGCCGCGUGCGGGAUGACGGCCUUCGGGUUGUAAACCGCUUUUAGUAGGGAAGAAGGGCUUCGGCUUGACGGUACCUGCAGAAAAAGGACCGGCUAACUACGUG